Molecule: non-coding RNA, 68 nt
Organism: Podarcis lilfordi (Lilford's wall lizard)
Lineage: Eukaryota; Metazoa; Chordata; Lepidosauria; Squamata; Lacertidae
Source: the annotation of a GenBank genome assembly
GGAUAGCUCAGUAGGCAGAGCAUGAGACUCUUAAUCUCAGGGUCAUGGGUUGAGCCCCACAUUCAACA